GUCCACGCCGUAAACGAUGAGUGCUAGGUGCUGCGGGUAUUGACCCCUGCGGUGCCGUAGCUAACGCGUUAAGCACUCCGCCUGGGGAGUACGGUCGCAAGACUAAAACUCAAAGGAAUUGACGGGGGCCCGCACAAGCGGUGGAGCAUGUGGUUCAAUUCGACGCAACGCGCAGAACCUUACCUGGGUUAAAUCCACUCGAAUCUGCUAGAGAUAGCGGAGUGCCCUUCUGGGGAGCGAGUGAGAAGGUGCUGCAUGGCUGUCGU
Molecule: ribosomal RNA, 266 nt
Filed under: uncultured bacterium
Lineage: Bacteria
Description: partial 16S ribosomal RNA
Rfam family: Bacterial small subunit ribosomal RNA
Source: RNAcentral